Long non-coding RNA from Stomoxys calcitrans (stable fly), 2193 nucleotides. RefSeq lists it as uncharacterized. The record is from RefSeq and is a predicted model, not a curated record. The transcript has 2 exons. Lineage: Eukaryota; Metazoa; Arthropoda; Insecta; Diptera; Muscidae.
AAAAAUAAUCCUCAUUUGUUUAUGAAUUUUUGUGGCCAACAACUUAUCAAUGUUGGUAAGGUAAAUUGCAAUAACAAAGUGCUACCAGAUAGAUUAAAAAUUACCGUUAACGUCGGCAGACAAAUUGUUGUUAUCGUUGUUUACGUUUGCAAAACGACGAACUAAUUCUGUUAUUAUAACGAUAAAAAAAAACACGCCUAUUUUCUGUCUCUCCCCUUCCUCUCUUGUUUAUAGUUGCUUUGUAAAACAAAUAAAAGCUGCGGCAGCGACAGCGCUGCGUAGUCUAAUAAGAAAAUUAUGGCAGCAACCACCGCCGCAAUUUUAAAGUAAUCAAAAAGGUCGUAUAGAAGAGAAAGGUAAAAAACACGCGCACAACAACAAGUACGAUACCUACAAUAGGAAGAAAUUGAUGAAACAAAUUGUGAAAAAGUAGUAACAAGGAAAAAAAAAAGAAAAUAAAAAUAAAAUCAAGAGUAAAUUGAACAACUAACAAAGAAUAGGAAAAAUGGGAGGGGGUAAAAUGUGAAAUGAAAAGUAAACAACAAUGAUGAUGGCAAUAAAUGACCACAUUAUCACAACAACUAAAACAUUACUAGCAGAAAACGAUGGGCACGAGAAAAACAAAUGUGUCAUAUAAAGUACGUAGUUAGUGUAUGGCGUAUUUUGUUUUUGCUUUUUUGCGAAGGACAAUAUAAGAUGUGUUGAGAGCAAGAGUGACAUAAUUCUUCUACAAGGACGAACAUUGACGAAGAUAUAGCAGGCAGUGCUUGCUGAUAUCAGCAGAUAAAUUUUUCUGGUUGUAUGUAUCAUACAAACACUUGAAUAUCACAUACAACAUUUUAACAACUACGCUCCAACAUAGAAUGGGUGGACAUUUUUUUACUCAUUCCGUUUGUAACAACUCAGAAAGUUACCUUUUGCAAAAAAACAUGAGCAUAAAAUAACGAUGGAAAAAAUUCGCUUGCCAACCUACUGAAAUCAUCUGUUUUACAUUCAUAAAAUCGGCUGAUUUCAGUGAGUUGAACGAAUCGAGUGAUACAAUUUUAUAGAUUUUGGCAGUUAAAAACACUGUUGCACAUUAUUUUUUACACACACAAGGACAUCGAAACCCGGGUUUUUUCCCCGGCACGGGAUAGCUUCGAAGACCACACACGCUGGAACAUUGAGCUCCAAUCUGUGUGAUGAUCAUAGCUGUCACGAAAAGCUUAGCUGUGAGUUUCUGGGUGACUCCACAGAUUUCGGAUAGAGGAAAACUUCAUUCAUAGUAGCUGCAACUGCAGUCGCAGACAAUCAGCGCUAUCAAGUGGAGAGUCUCAGUGAGAGGCCGAACGGCACUGGCUCGUGCUUAACUACUGAGUUGAUACGAUGCUCGAUACAACAAGGCGAGUUAUUGGUGCCUUUAAUAUCCGAUGGCCAUCAUGCUCCCACGGCGAUCGCCCGUAUGGACCUGGAACUUGACGAGGAUCGCCACCUCCACAUGCAAAUGUGCCUACAACAAUAUGAUUGGAAAACAACUAUGUGAUUGGAAAACAUUUCUACAGAAUUUUGUCAACAUCGAGGAAGAAAAUCAUGUAUGUGCCUGAUCAGCACCUGCACUUUAGUUAUUAACCGAGAUAUAUACAUAUAUAACUUUUUAAGCAAAGAAACGUUGAAAGACAAAUAGAAAAUGGGAAAUUUCCGUUGCACCAAGGCGUAUAAAUACGCCUUGCGUUGUACGUUUCAAAUAGAAGUCAUUUUUGUAUCGUGUUCUUACUGACGCUACAAAAUUACAUGCCUGGGUAACCAAAAAAAUCAACGCCUUUAUAUGGUAAGAACUCCUAGAAUCAUGUCAGACGAGCACAUAGGGGUUGUACGUUGUUCGUAAUCUACAUAAGUACCUACUAUUUGACAAUUAAUCAAAGGUAAGUUGAAUUUGCCUUUUCGCUAAUAGUUAUCAUUAAUCUGGCAACACUAUAUCUCCUUAAAUUGCAGGAAUUUGGGGAGAAGGGCAGAGGCAAAUGUGCCAAACUAAUUGCGUGUUUUCUUUCUCAUAUAUGUAUGUAUGUAUGUACCUAUAUAAAAACGUUGUACAACAUACACUCCCCAUUUAGUACAUACUUAUUAUAUAGAUAUUUUUUACAUAUGUAUGUAUUUAUGUACCAAAAACCGAUAUAUAUAUAUAUAUAUGCAAACAAAUAUUGCCCAUAAACUUAA